UACGAAGGGGGCUAGUGUUGUUCGGAUUUACUGGGCGUAAAGCGCACGUAGGCGGAUCGUUAAGUCGGGGGUGAAAUCCUGGAGCUCAACUCCAGAACUGCCUUCGAUACUGGCGAUCUUGAGUCCGGAAGAGGUGAGUGGAACUCCUAGUGUAGAGGUGGAAUUCGUAGAUAUUAGGAAGAACACCAGUGGCGAAGGCGGCUCACUGGUCCGGUACUGACGCUGAGGUGCGAAAGCGUGGGGAGCAAACAGG
RNAcentral lists this ribosomal RNA (253 nucleotides) under uncultured bacterium. RNAcentral describes it as "partial 16S ribosomal RNA". It matches the Rfam family "Bacterial small subunit ribosomal RNA", at positions 524 to 776 of the family's 1533-position model. The record is from RNAcentral.